RNAcentral lists this ribosomal RNA (301 nucleotides) under uncultured bacterium. Its description in RNAcentral is "partial 16S ribosomal RNA". It matches the Rfam family "Bacterial small subunit ribosomal RNA", at positions 509 to 807 of the family's 1533-position model. The record is from RNAcentral.
CAGUCGCCGCGGGAAUACGGAGGGAGCUAGCGUUGUUCGGAAUUACUGGGCGUAAAGCGCACGUAGGCGGCUUUGUAAGUUAGAGGCGAAAGCCUGGGGCUCAACUCCAGAAUUGCCUUUGAGACUGCAUCGCUUGAACACGGGAGAGGUGAGUGGAAUUCCGAGUGUAGAGGUGAAAUUCGUAGAUAUUCGGAAGAACACCAGUGGCGAAGGCGGCUCACUGGACCGUUGUUGACGCUGAGGUGCGAAAGCGUGGGGAGCAAACAGGAUUAGAUACCCGUGUAGUCCCUGUCUCUUAUAC